RNAcentral lists this ribosomal RNA (301 nucleotides) under uncultured bacterium. RNAcentral's name for it is "partial 16S ribosomal RNA". It matches the Rfam family "Bacterial small subunit ribosomal RNA", at positions 509 to 807 of the family's 1533-position model. The record is from RNAcentral.
CAGCGGCCGCGGUAAUACGUAGGGUGCAAGCGUUAUCCGGAAUUACUGGGCGUAAAGCGUGCGCAGGCGGUUUUUUAAGUCAGGUGUGAAAUCCCCGGGCUCAACCCGGGAAAGGCGCUUGAAACUGCAAAGCUAGAGUGCGGCAGAGGGGGGUGGAAUUCCGCGUGUAGCGGUGAAAUGCGUAGAGAUGCGGAGGAACACCAAUGGCGAAGGCAAUCCCCUGGACCUGUACUGACGCUGAGGCACGAAAGCGUGGGGAGCAAACAGGAUUAGAGACCCGUGUAGUCCCUGUCUCUUAUAC